RNAcentral lists this ribosomal RNA (400 nucleotides) under phytoplankton environmental sample. RNAcentral's name for it is "partial small subunit ribosomal RNA". It matches the Rfam family "Eukaryotic small subunit ribosomal RNA", at positions 587 to 978 of the family's 1831-position model. The record is from RNAcentral.
AGCUCCAAUAGCGUAUAUUAAAGUUGUUGCAGUUAAAAAGCUCGUAGUUGGAUUUCUGUGAGAGUGCCUGCCUCGGCUUGACGCUUGUGGGCAGAUGCUCUUACAUCCUUCUGUUAACUGUUCUUGGCUUUCAUUUGCUGGUUCAGGGCUCAGAUAUUUUACCUUGAGAAAAUUAGAGUGUUUCAGGCAGGCUUAUGCACGGAAUACAUUAGCAUGGAAUAAUGGAAUAGGACCUACGCGUCUCUCGGGGCGCCGGUCUCUGUUGUUGGUUUCGGGGACUAAAGUAAUGAUUAAUAGGGAUAGUUGGGGGCAUUAGUAUUUAAUAGUCAGAGGUGAAAUUCUCGGAUUUGUUAAAGACUAACUUAUGCGAAAGCAUUUGCCAAGGAUGUUUUCAUUAAUC